This is a long non-coding RNA of Pygocentrus nattereri (red-bellied piranha), 3519 nucleotides long. RefSeq lists it as uncharacterized. The record is from RefSeq and is a predicted model, not a curated record. The transcript has 5 exons. Lineage: Eukaryota; Metazoa; Chordata; Actinopteri; Characiformes; Serrasalmidae.
CAUCUGAACACAGUUCCUCUUUCAGCUGCAAACGUUUGAGUGCGGAAGAGUCCAGUGAAGUCCAGCUGAGAGAGAUACAGGAUUUGCUCGUGUGCUGGUCGUGUCAGGUGGACUGUAGGUCUGUAAAGAGCUCUGCAGAAGUCCUGAGGUGGUGUAGUUUUUGAGUAGCUGACAGAUCGGUCAGUAGAGGGGGUUGUAAGAGUGGUCAUAUCUGCAGUCGUGCUGUCUCUGUAUGUAGUGAGGAGGCUCUGUAACUCAGGAAGAAUGCAGGUUGGUUUGUAUCUUCUGCUUGUGCUCCACAUUGCUGAAGGCUGCAAACUGAAAGAUGGAAAGCAAGAAAAGAUUACUGCAUACACAGGAGGGUCAGCACUGCUGCCCUGUUACUGCACUGACCCACAAGCCACACCUGGGAGAUUUACCUGGAAGAAACUUAGCACAGGCAUAGUCAUAUGGGAAGAGAUGUCCAGUGAAAGUGGUCAGUACAGAGACAGAGUUCAGCUGGGUAAUGGUCACUCUCCAGGAAAUCUCUCUCUACUCAUAUCACUCCUGACUGAAGAGGACAGAGGAUGGCACAGAUGUGACGUUGAAGGCAGCAUCAAAGAUAUCAGACUCACUGUUGAAGGCUGCACUCUGACCAACCAUAAGACAACAUUAAAUAUCACAGCUCAUACAGGAGGGUCAGUACUGCUGCCCUGCUCCUGCGCUGAGCUACGUGCCAAACCCAAGACAUUCACCUGGAACAAAUACAUCAAUCAAAAUUGGGACAGGAUAACCUUUGAAAGUGGUCAGUAGAGAGACAGAGUUCAGCUGGUUAAUGGUCACUCUCCAGGAAAUCUCUCUCUACUCAUAUCACACCUGACUGAAGAGGAUGGAGGAGUUUACAGGUGUUAUUUGGAAAGUGGAUACACAGACAUCAGACUCACUGUUAAAGGUAAAACACUGGUUUGUUUUCUGAGUGCAAAGUGUGUUGAAUGAACUGUGUAAGAUUUGUUAUCCUUCCAGUACAAAUGCUCCAAGAAGAGCUUUAAUGAGGGUUCUGUAUUGAGGGUGUGAGCAGUAGUUAACAUUUUCUCCAGUAUAUGAAUGUUUAUCAUGUUCUAUAAUGUCUACAGAAGGGACAUUUAUAUUGUCUCACAGUCCCCACACUGGGACUCUGUAUUGGAUCUUUCCAACAAAACUCCAGCCCCUCAUCACUGCUCACUUGGGUCUUUUUAGCCCUGUUAUCUCAGGUAUCUGGAUCUGCUCUGUCAUUGUGUUUGCCUUUUUCUAGUUUCUCCUUUAGUCCUGUGUUUGUAUGAAUGGCUUUAGUUUCUACAUUGUUUGGUGAAGUCAUGUUUACAUGUUUAUCUUGGAAUUCUGAGCCUGUUUCAGGUCGUGUUAUUCUGUUAUUUCUGUUGAAUUUUGCUCCUGGUUUCAGUCUGUUUAGUCUGUCUUCUAGUUAUUAGGCUGUGGUUUGUCCUGGGUCAGUCCUGUCUGGCUUCACUCUGACACAUGCAAGAGUUAAACACGGUCUUUUCUAGGAAUCCUCAAGCGAAUAUGCUUUUGUCCUUUAGCCUCAAGCCCAUCAUUUAGAAACAUAUAUGGUUUGUUGAAGACUGUUUCAUGAAGAUGCAUCUCAGGACAUGGAGUUACUCCAUACUUUAGUACAUAGUAUUAUAAUCAAAUUGUACAAUUGUACAGCAACGUCUUUGGUAGGCAACAUCAGUUUCAUUUGGUUGUGCAGUGCAGGUUUCUUAUGAGAACACAGCCAUAACCAAUCCAGCUAAAGUAGUGAAGCACGUUAUUGACAUUAAAUUUCCGUCUCAGUUUUAAAGCAUAUUAAACUAUAUAUGUGAGAUCACUGCCUCGGUGUAAUUUGAUCUUUUGCUAUAUUUUAUCCAUUGAUAGCUGAAGUCCACACAGCUGAGAUUUCCUGCUGUGUUAUUAAUCACAAAUCAUGCUGGUUCACUGAAUAGUAUGCAAAUAUAGUGCCGUACUUUUAGAAGGACACUCAUUAGUGUAGUAGAUAAAGUACAGAAGCUUGAGGAUUUUUAUGUAACAUUAGAUCAGCCAGUAAGACGUGUUCAAUGGUGUAGCAGCUCUGGUGACUCCUUAUAUCUGCUGUUCAGCUCAUAAGCAGGCAUGAAAAAUUCCAAGCAGAAGUUUGAGGUAUUUCAUGAGUACAGAUGCAUUUAUUGAUGUAAAUUAAUGUUGGUAAUUGAUUUUUUUUUAACUUAUUUGUGUUGAGCUGAUUUUAGCUUUUUUAUUCAGCAGCUUCUUUUUCAUAAUAAGGAGGCAAAUAAGGAGCUAACUUUAGCGUUAUGUAUGUGUAGGUGUUAAUUAUUUCAAAGCUUUUUUAAAUUUAAUUUUAGUAACAUUUUAAUUAGUUUUCAUAAAAAUCUCACACACUUGGGAGAUUUGCAAUUCAUACGGAUCCAGUCCACCAAUCUAGCUAAUCUGCUCACUGUAGCGUUUUCUGAAGACUUUAUCUAAAGUGUCCACGUAUCUUUUCAUCUUUUCUUGCUUGUUCUAAUCUGUUUUUCUUGGUCUUCAUCCACCUGCAGUGUUGUUGCUGCAGAAAGGGUGAUUAGAUGAGAUCCAUCACAGCAAUUGGUCUCCUCAGUUCCCAAACGGCCACUUUUUUGGAACGUGUUGUUGGCAUUACUUAUUAGAUACUGUCAAAGUUUCCUCUCUUUCCAGCAGCUCCAACACUGAGAACGUCAACUCUACCUUCUUCCACAAUGUCUUCUCAUGAAGGAAAGUCAACCCUGAAUGUUGCUGCUGGUGAUGCAGAACCUCAUCAGUCUCUGCCCUUCGUCCCCUUUGCCUUGGUGACUGUGAUCUUUCUCCACAUUAUAGUAGCUGUGGUUUAUCACACCAAGAGAAACAAAGUGCCAGAUGCUUCUACAAUUUACUACAGCAAUGAUGAAGAAGAUGGAGCAGUGAUUGUACAGUAGAGAAUAAAACCAACAGACAUCAACAGACCAGCUACUGACAACACCUGAUCUGCUGACCAACUCCUGAGUUUGACACCAGAUCAAAAGACCAACUUCUGAUUUCAUCCUAGAUCAACAGACCAGGUCUUGACAUUCACGCCAGACCAACAGGCCAUUUAAUGACUUUCAAUCCAGAUACCAGCUACUGACUUCCACACCAGAUCAACAGACCAGCUACUGACUUACAUUCCAGAUCAACAGACCAGAUAUUGAUUUCCACACCAGAUCAACAGACCAGCUAUGGACAAAAACACCUGAAUAAAAAGAUUUUCAACUAAAAACAUAACAAGAAGACCAGCCAAUGUCCAACAGACCUAAUGAAUAGUUCACCUAGUGACAAGCACACAGAGGAACAGAGAACUGGAGUUUUUACUCAUAUGACUUGGUUGACCCUCAGAACAGGAUAUGAACAAGUGCCAAUCUGUUUUUGCCCUUUAGAUAAUAAACUGCAAAAUGGGCAUUUUUUACUGAAUAUAUUUUUUCUAAGUAAUAAAAAAUCUGUACAUCAUAUCAGAUAAUAUGUAAAUAUAUUUGUAGGUUUUUU